Non-coding RNA from Physcomitrium patens, 2587 nucleotides. NCBI's taxonomy places the organism in Eukaryota, Viridiplantae, Streptophyta, Bryopsida, Funariales, Funariaceae. The record is from RefSeq and is a predicted model, not a curated record.
ACUGAAGCAUUAUAUGAAGGUUUGAUAUCCAAGCCUUCAACAAGAUAUUUCAUACAAUUUCAGUAACAAAUGAAGGUCCCCAAUGUUGCCCGAAAGAAUUCUACACAAUCCUGAUUAAGAAAACAGGAAAGCAGAAAACCCACCAGGAGUAGUGAAUGGAUCCAUCAAAUCUCACACUUUGCUUUUGUUAUUGCUUUAGUUUUUUUUUGUUUCCAUGAAGGAAAUGGCAUGCAACACAUUCAAUCCCGGCUUGUGGGGUUCAAACCUUUAAGCUUGUGCUCGCAUACUCCACAGUCCGAGUCGGUGGGAGUGGCGGUGUCGGCGCUGGAUCACUGCCGAUGCUUGCGUACUGUCGCGAUGGCUUCCCUCGAUCGAAUCCUGAACACUCGUCAUUCAUUCCGCACCCACAAAAAGCGCAUAAUGCAGCAGCUUAACCUGGUUCGCAUUGCUUGUACCCCUCUGCGGCAUUGAUGUGAAGCAAAUUUCAAGCUGGUUUUCACCGAAGGAUGCUCUUAUAACGGCCUCGUCCAUGUCAAACCAAUUGGCAGUGACCGGCGUCUCGAGUUCCACCGCAAUCGCGAAAUCCAUCUCUUUUAACGCAGGCUCAUGCGCACCUCGUUUGCGACAACGCAUAGCAUGUGCUGCUGGCCAUCGCGCACUAUCACCAACAGCACCAGAAAUGGGGCGUUGAAACCGAAUACCAUAUUCUCAAUCUCGGGUGCAGUUCAGUUGGCUCUCAUUCCGCAGCUUUCUGCUUCGAAGACACGCCAUAUGGUUGAGAUUCUGAGACCCGGCGGCGAUUGAUGGAAGAUUUUGAGAGUGAUGGAGGGAAUGAAGGCAAUGGUGGUGUCGGGGGGAUUUGUGGGCGGUGCCACCAGGUCGCAGGUUUCCAGUUCCGCCACUUCGGGUUCGUGGUCCUCGUAGUCACUAAUGCCGGCGCUCAUUUCGUUUUCCGGGAGAGGUAAAAGACGGGUUGUUCGUUCCCCAACUGGCCAGGGAGCUUCGGUUGGUAACUGCAGAUUCCAGGGGAGCUGUGUCGUAAGGCGGUGGACAGGUGAGGAUGGAAACUGAAGCCAUGAAUGAUGUUAUCAUCGAUGCAGGUGUGGGCAGCCAUGGCGCUGCACUUAUAGCUGUUGAGAAGGUAGAGCUUUCGCAACGGUCUGCCGUUAAUGCGUCCAUCGCGGGUAGAGCGUUGUGGCCGUGCAACAGUAUUGUCUGGCUUCCUCCCUUGUUCUCUCCUUCAGACCGAUGUUGUUAAUUUUUUGAUACCUAUUGCAAGUAUUGUAGUACUUAGGAUUUCAAAACCUUGAUUGGAAAACUCUAAUAUGCUUCCUAUUUAACCAAUGCCUUUGAUUGGGAGUCGCCCAUGUCGUGAUUUUAUUAUGGCCUUCAGCUUGUACUUUUUCUUGUCGCGUCGUCUAAUGCUCGUGAAGUUUUCUUUGUGAGAAUUUUGCAAUAUUAGCACAGUUUCGUUAACCACAUACUUGUCAACAUGGAUGUUUGGGGAAAACCGAUUUCACAAGGGUCCACGCUCUGUAGCUGAAGUGGAUCCCAGCGUGGAUAGAUAUCGUAGGAAUCGGAUACAUUGGUGCAGAAUUUAGUGAUGUCUGUACAGUUCUUGAAAGCGACGUUAGUGCCCCUUUUUGUAAGUUAGCUAUUCAUUUAUUUGGCACGGUUUUACAUACGGACUUUUAUUGUUCUUGUGUUAGCGACUAGCAACUGUGCCUACGGGUCAUCAAAAAAAGUGCUUAACGUUGCGUCAAUUCUCUUCUUUUCUGCCUCUAGUUUUUCCGGUGGCUCAUAAUUCAUCUUUGUAAAAACGAGCAGGUGGCACUCAUAGAGGCGAUUGAUGGCUUCAUGCCCGAAUUUGAGCCUCAAACCGGUUAGGCUUGCCCAGAGGAGCUUGAUUAAUUCUUACAAAAUUGAUUAUCAUUUCGGUGUUUAGCGACGAAGAUCACGCCAGCUGCAGAUGAAGAAUCCAGCACAGAUUGUAUUAGUCGACACAAAGACUAAGAAGUUCAAGGAGAUUCUCGAGGACGCUACCCUUUUCAAGACCCAACACUUUAUUGGAAUAAGACACUACCAUUUGCAAAGGUGAAAGUAACCACACAGAGGGGUGUUGUACCCGUGGGUGAGCGUAUGCAAGGGCUCGAUGGUGAAGGAACAAAGUGAGCGGAUUCUACGACGCCAAAUACUUUGAAAUAGUUUGAAAACCUCACAAUGUCAUGUUUCCAGCCGUUAUGCGUGUGCAUCAAUCGAACAUCGAAUGAUAAGCGUGGAUUCAGAAGACUACUUCCGAAGGAUUCCCAGUCUGUAAUCAUGGUUCUCUUGGGUAGUCAUUUUUGAUCGAUUAUAGGUAUGAGUAGCUAUGACAUUUUAGCUGAUCUUCUAGAUGGACACCAUUGAUUCCGCCUUUCGACGUGGCUCAGACAAUUCCCAUCAAACACUUUCUGCCUCUGUUUGUUGUUGUGUCUGCUUUGUACUGUACAGGUGAUGCCAAUGGAUACAUAAUGCUUGCCCUUGCACCCAGUGCUCAAAGCAUUCCUGGUAAAUUAAUCAGUCCUAAUCCGUCUGUGUUAAAUCAUUU